This 329-nucleotide ribosomal RNA is filed under the name uncultured eukaryote. RNAcentral describes it as "partial 18S ribosomal RNA". It matches the Rfam family "Eukaryotic small subunit ribosomal RNA", at positions 1470 to 1796 of the family's 1831-position model. The record is from RNAcentral.
CCCUUAGAUGUUCUGGGCCGCACGCGCGCUACACUGAUGCAUUCAACGAGUCUAAAACCUGCUCUGAUAGGGGUGGGUAAUCUUUUGAAUGUGCAUCGUGAUUGGGAUAGAUGAUUGCAAUUUUUCAUCUUCAACGAGGAAUGCCUAGUAAACGCAAGUCAUCAGCUUGCAUUGAUUACGUCCCUGCCCUUUGUACACACCGCCCGUCGCUCCUACCGAUUGAAUGAUCCGAUGAAUAUCAUGGAUUGAGGAUGCAAGUAGGUUCGCCUAUCUUCAUCUUCGAGAAGUGAAGUAAAUCUUAUCAUUUAGAGGAAGGAGAAGGCGGAACA